AGAGUUUGAUCCUGGCUCAGGAUGAACGCUAGCUACAGGCUUAACACAUGCAAGUCGAGGGGCAUCAGUUUGGUUUGCUUGCAAACCAAAGCUGGCGACCGGCGCACGGGUGAGUAACACGUAUCCAACCUGCCUCAUACUCGGGGAUAGCCUUUCGAAAGAAAGAUUAAUAUCCGAUAGCAUAUAUUUCCCGCAUGGGUUUUAUAUUAAAGAAAUUCGGUAUGAGAUGGGGAUGCGUUCCAUUAGUUUGUUGGCGGGGUAAACGGCCCACCAAGACUACGAUGGAUAGGGGUUCUGAGAGGAAGGUCCCCCANAUUGGAACUGAGACACGGUCCAAACGUCCUACGGGAGGCCA
RNAcentral lists this ribosomal RNA (355 nucleotides) under uncultured bacterium. RNAcentral describes it as "bacterial SSU rRNA". It matches the Rfam family "Bacterial small subunit ribosomal RNA", at positions 8 to 350 of the family's 1533-position model. The record is from RNAcentral.